GCCAGGAGUCUUUGCACACACCUGUAAUCCCAGCGACUCGGGAGGCUGAGGCAGGAGGAUCGAAAGUUCAAAGCCAGCCCAGCACUUUGUGAAUCUCUGAGCAACUUAGCGAGACCCUGUCUCAA
Molecule: small RNA, 125 nt
Filed under: Marmota monax (woodchuck)
Lineage: Eukaryota; Metazoa; Chordata; Mammalia; Rodentia; Sciuridae
Source: RNAcentral